AAAUGUGAUCAAUAAAUUUAUUGUUAGGUCAUAAAUAUUUAUAUUCCAAUCAGUUUAUAACAAUAAUCAUUUUAAAUGUACUGUACAUGUUUGGCUUCGGAAACAAAAACUCAAAAACAAGUUUUAUCAUAAGCCUGGGUUUUUGUCAAGCAAUAAAGUAUUUACAGAAAGAACCAUGCAAACCUCCUAAAUUAGUACCCUACUCAAACACAAAUGUACAAGUAUGGGAGGCAUGUAGGUCAUCCAGUCCAAAUAAGUGGAUUCACUUUUUUGUUGUCCACUUUAAAGUUAUAGAAUUGUUGAUGAAGUUACACCACUAAGCAAAUAACUAAAACAAUGAAAGACUGCAACCCAUUAGAAAGCCAUAUCAGAUAAAUUGCUCAAGUGUCUCCUUGUGCCUCAGACUAAUUGUCCUAGUCCAAAGGGGGAAAAAAAGUACUAGUCAACUUCUAGUAUUGUAAGCUAGAAAAAAAAAUUUGAUUUCAACAGAUAACUAACUUCUAUGCUAUUUAAACACAUAAAAAUUACAACAAAAUAGUUAUUAAUAAAAUGGUUCAGUUCUCACAAAACUAGACAGCAGAGAUCAUCAGAUAUAUCUGCCUAAUGAAUCUUUGCUGUGUCAAAAAUAUGCUUUCAAAAUCAUGACAAUCUUUCAUACAUUUGGAUUCAUAAACAAUUGGGGGGGGGGGGGGGGGGC
Biomphalaria pfeifferi is the source of this 697-nucleotide non-coding RNA. NCBI's taxonomy places the organism in Eukaryota, Metazoa, Mollusca, Gastropoda, Planorbidae. The record is from the annotation of a GenBank genome assembly.